This 2875-nucleotide ribosomal RNA is filed under the name Parabacteroides sp. 20_3. RNAcentral's name for it is "bacterial LSU rRNA". It matches the Rfam family "Bacterial large subunit ribosomal RNA". Lineage: Bacteria; Pseudomonadati; Bacteroidota; Bacteroidia; Bacteroidales; Tannerellaceae. The record is from RNAcentral.
AGAAAGUAAGCAAGGGCAGACGGUGGAUGCCUUGGCUCUCGGAGGCGACGAAGGACGUGAUAAGCUGCGAAAAGCCCGGGGGAGGCGCAAAUAGCCCUUGAUCCCGGGAUAUCCGAAUGGGGCAACCCGGCAGGCUGAAGGCCUGCCAUCCCGUAAGGGAGGCGAACGUGGGGAACUGAAACAUCUAAGUACCCAUAGGAGGAGAAAAUAAACAAUGAUUCCGUAAGUAGUGGCGAGCGAACACGGAAGAGCCCAAACCCAUGUCGUCUAGGCGACACGGGGGUUGUAGGACCACGACGUGGCAAGAGGAUGGCAAGUGGAACGCCUUGGAAAGGGCGACCGUAGAGGGUGAUAGUCCCGUACACGACUGCCUGCCGAAGCCUAGUGGCAUCCUGAGUAGCGCGGGGCACGAGAAAUCUUGCGUGAAACAGCGGGGCCCAUCCCGUAAGGCUAAAUACUCCCGAGAGACCGAUAGCGAACCAGUACCGUGAGGGAAAGGUGAAAAGAACCCCGAGCAGGGGAGUGAAAUAGACCCUGAACCCGUCUGCCUACAAGCGGUCGGAGCAUAGCAAUAUGUGACGGCGUGCCUUUUGCAUAAUGAACCUACGAGUUACCUUCCCCGGCAAGGUUAAGUACCUAAGGUACGGAGCCGAAGCGAAAGCGAGUCUGAAGAGGGCGGCCAGUCGGGGGGGGUAGACGCGAAACCGAGUGAUCUACCCUUGGCCAGGUUGAAGGUUGGGUAACACCAACUGGAGGACCGGAUGGGUAAGCGUUGAAAAGCUUUCCAAUGAGCUGAGGGUAGGGGUGAAAGGCUAAUCAAACUCGGAGAUAGCUCGUACUCCCCGAAAUGCAUUUAGGUGCAGCCUCUUUAUAGUAUAUCGUGAGGUAGAGCGACUGAUUGGAUGCGAGGGCUUCACCGCCUAUCAAGUCCAGAUAAACUCCGAAUGCGCGAUAUAUAUUUACAGGGAGUGAGGGCGCGGGUGCUAAGGUCCGUGUCCGAGAGGAGAAGAAUCCAGACCACCGGCUAAGGCCCCCAAAUGAUCGUUGAGUUGAACUAACGAGGUCGGAUCGCAGAGACAGCUAGGAUGUUGGCUUGGAAGCAGCCAUUCAUUUAAAGAGUGCGUAACAGCUCACUAGUCGAGCGAUCUGGCGUGGAUAAUAAUCGGGCAUAAACGAUCUGCCGAAGCCGUGGAUGUCGUAAGACAUGGUAGGGGAGCAUUCCAUGCGGCGUCGAAGAUGAGGGAUGACCCUUGUUGGAGCGCAUGGAAAAGCAAAUGUAGGUAUGAGUAACGAUAAGGGGGGCGAGAAACCCCCCCGCCGAAAGACCAAGGUUUCCUGAUCAACGCUAAUCGGAUCAGGGUGAGUCGGGACCUAAGGCAAAGCCGAACGGCGCCGCCGAUGGAAGAAUGGGUUAAUAUUCCCAUACUGCCUCAUGGAGUGACGUGGAGACGGAGAAGUGACAGUCCUGCCGGCUGACGGAAUAGCCGGUUGAAGGGUGUAGAUAUUGAUUCCCGUAGGCAAAUCCGCGGGGAGAGUCGAACCUGACAGUAUACCGAGUACUUGUACGAGGUAAUAUGGACGUAACCAUGCUCCCAAGAAAAUCCGCUAAACUUAUCCAUGCGGCACCCGUACCGUAAACGGACACACGUGGUCGGGUUGAGAAUACUGAGGCGCUCGAGUGACUCACGGUUAAGGAACUAGGCAAAUUGACCCUGUAACUUCGGGAUAAAGGGUCCUCGUCGUAAGGCGAGGCGCAGAGAAUAGGUCCAGGCAACUGUUUAACAAAAACACAUGGCUAUGCUAAAUGGAAACAUGACGUAUAUAGCCUGACACCUGCCCGGUGCUGGAAGGUUAAGAGGAGAUGUCAUCGCAAGAGAAGCGUUGAAUUGAAGCCCCAGUAAACGGCGGCCGUAACUAUAACGGUCCUAAGGUAGCGAAAUUCCUUGUCGGGUAAGUUCCGACCUGCACGAAUGGUGUAAUGAUCUGGACACUGUCUCAACCGUGAGCUCGGUGAAAUUGUAGUAUCGGUGAAGAUGCCGAUUACCCGCGAUGGGACGAAAAGACCCCGUGAACCUUUACUAUAGCUUUACAUUGAAUUUGGGCAGACGAUGUGUAGGAUAGGCCGGAGGCUUUGAAGGGGGUACGCCAGUAUCCUUGGAGCCGCCGUUGAAAUACGGCCCUUCGGUUGUUUGAGUUCUAACUCCUAGGCAGGAGGACACUGUAUGGUGGGUAGUUUGACUGGGGUGGUCGCCUCCAAAAGCGUAACGGAGGCUUCUAAAGGUGCCCUCAGACCGAUUGGUAACCGGUCGUAGAGUGUAAUGGCAUAAGGGCGCUUGACUGGGAGAGAUACAACUCGAUCAGGUAGGAAACUAGAGCAUAGUGAUCCGGUGGUUCCGCAUGGAAGGGCCAUCGCUCAAAGGAUAAAAGGUACUCCGGGGAUAACAGGCUGAUCAUUCCCAAGAGCUCAUAUCGACGGAAUGGUUUGGCACCUCGAUGUCGGCUCGUCACAUCCUGGGGCUGGAGAAGGUCCCAAGGGUUGGGCUGUUCGCCCAUUAAAGUGGCACGCGAGCUGGGUUCAGAACGUCGUGAGACAGUUCGGUCUCUAUCUAUCGUGGGCGCAGGAGAUUUGAGGGGCUCUGACACUAGUACGAGAGGACCGUGUUGGACGUACCACUGGUUUACCGGUUGUCCCGCCAGGGGCACCGCCGGGUAUCUAAGUACGGAUCGGAUAAGUGCUGAAAGCAUCUAAGUACGAAGCCGGCCUCAAGAUUAGAUCUCCCUCAAGGGUGGUUAUAGACGAUGACCUUGAUAGGCCACAGGUGUAAGGGCGGCGACGUCCGAGCCGAGUGGUACUAAUAGCCCGGGACUUUCCUCA